Molecule: ribosomal RNA, 461 nt
Filed under: uncultured bacterium
Lineage: Bacteria
Description: partial 16S ribosomal RNA
Rfam family: Bacterial small subunit ribosomal RNA
Source: RNAcentral
GCCAGACUCCUACGGGAGGCAGCAGUGGGGGAUAUUGCACAAUGGGGGGAACCCUGAUGCAGCGACGCCGCGUGGGUGAAGGAGCACCUCGGUGCGUAAAGCCCUAUCGGCAGGGAAGAAAAGCGAACAGGUUCGCCUGGACGGUACCUGACUAAGAAGCCCCGGCUAACUACGUGCCAGCAGCCGCGGUAAUACGUAGGGGGCAAGCGGUAUCCGGAUUCACUGGGUGUAGAGGGAGCGUAGACGGCGGCGCAAGUCUGGAGUGAAAGCCCGGGGCCCAACCCCGGGACUGCUCUGGAAACUGCGGCGCUGGAGUACGGGGGGGGCAGGCGGAAUUCCUGGUGUAGCGGUGAAAUGCGUAGAUAUCAGGAGGAACACCGGCGGCGAAGGCGGCCUGCUGGACCGUAACUGACGUUGAGGCUCGAAAGCGUGGGUAUCGAACAGGAUUAGAUACCCGGGUA